GAUGAACGUUGGCGGCGUGCCUAACACAUGCAAGUCGAACGCUGGUAGCAAUAUCAGAGUGGCGCACGGGUGAGUAACACGUAGCUUACCUACCUCAAAGCGCGGGAUAACGUUCCGAAAGGAAUGCUAAUACCGCAUAAGCUCGCGGUCUGUAGAGGGCUGAGAGAAAAGGGGCAACUCACUUUGAGAUGGGGCUGCGGCCCAUCAGCUGGUUGUGAGGAACGGCUUACCAAGGCAACGACGGGUAGGGACCUGAGAGGGU
RNAcentral lists this ribosomal RNA (262 nucleotides) under uncultured bacterium. RNAcentral describes it as "partial 16S ribosomal RNA". It matches the Rfam family "Bacterial small subunit ribosomal RNA", at positions 28 to 301 of the family's 1533-position model. The record is from RNAcentral.